GGUACUUCACGCGUGAAGGUAACAUGACAGUCAAAGAGAAAAUUGUGUUGCUCAUAAUUUCAUGUUUCGGCGUCACCCUAGCAAGGACACACGUUGAGGUCAGUUCACGUACAGACCAUGUGAUUUUACAAACUUCCAAUGCCACGACUUCGGUCCGUCCUAAGAAGCACAAACUCAACUAAUGGUAUGAAAAUGACAAACACGUCACGUUUAGUCAAAAUUCACAAACACAUAUUUACAUAUUUUGCAGCUGUUAUGUGUUUAAUAAUUUAAUUUUUUGUGGAGG
Zophobas morio is the source of this 286-nucleotide long non-coding RNA. RefSeq lists it as uncharacterized. The transcript has 3 exons. The record is from RefSeq and is a predicted model, not a curated record. Lineage: Eukaryota; Metazoa; Arthropoda; Insecta; Coleoptera; Tenebrionidae.